AACGAACGCUGGCGGCAUGCCUAACACAUGCAAGUCGAACGAGACCUUCGGGUCUAGUGGCGCACGGGUGCGUAACGCGUGGGAACCUGCCCUCAGGUUCGGAAUAACUCCCCGAAAGGGGUGCUAAUACCGGAUAACGUCUUCGGACCAAAGAUUUAUCGCCUUUGGAUGGGCCCGCGUUGGAUUAGCUAGUUGGUAGGGUAAAAGCCUACCAAGGCGACGAUCCAUAGCUGGUCUGAGAGGAUGAUCAGCCACACUGGGACUGAGACACGGCCCAGACUCCUACGGGAGGCAGCAGUGGGGAAUAUUGGACAAUGGGCGAAAGCCUGAUCCAGCAAUGCCGCGUGAGUGAUGAAGGCCUUAGGGUUGUAAAGCUCUUUUACCCGGGAUGAUAAUGACAGUACCGGGAGAAUAAGCUCCGGCUAACUCCGUG
Molecule: ribosomal RNA, 433 nt
Filed under: uncultured bacterium
Lineage: Bacteria
Description: partial 16S ribosomal RNA
Rfam family: Bacterial small subunit ribosomal RNA
Source: RNAcentral